RNAcentral lists this ribosomal RNA (253 nucleotides) under uncultured bacterium. Its description in RNAcentral is "partial 16S ribosomal RNA". It matches the Rfam family "Bacterial small subunit ribosomal RNA", at positions 524 to 776 of the family's 1533-position model. The record is from RNAcentral.
UACGAAGGGGGCUAGCGUUGUUCGGAAUUACUGGGCGUAAAGCGGAUGCAGGCGGACUUUUAAGUCGGGGGUGAAAUCCCGAGGCUCAACCUCGGAACUGCCUUCGAUACUGGAAGUCUUGAGUCCGGGAGAGGUGAGUGGAACUCCGAGUGUAGAGGUGAAAUUCGUAGAUAUUCGGAAGAACACCAGUGGCGAAGGCGGCUCACUGGCCCGGUACUGACGCUGAGAUACGAAAGCGUGGGGAGCAAACAGG